RNAcentral lists this ribosomal RNA (497 nucleotides) under uncultured bacterium. Its description in RNAcentral is "partial 16S ribosomal RNA". It matches the Rfam family "Bacterial small subunit ribosomal RNA", at positions 28 to 507 of the family's 1533-position model. The record is from RNAcentral.
GAUGAACGCUGGCGGCGUGCCUAAUACAUGCAAGUCGAGCGAACGGACGAUAAGCUUUCUUUUCUGAUGUUAGCGGCGGACGGGUGAGUAACACGUGGAUAACCUACCUAUAAGACUUGGAUAACUUCGGGAAACCGGAGCUAAUACCGGAUAAUAUUUUGAACCGCAUGGUUCAAAAGUGAAAGACGGUCUUGCUGUCACUUAUAGAUGGAUCCGCGCUGCAUUAGCUAGUUGGUAAGGUAACGGCUUACCAAGGCAACGAUGCAUAGCCGACCUGAGAGGGUGAUCGGCCACACUGGAACUGAGACACGGUCCAGACUCCUACGGGAGGCAGCAGUAGGGAAUCUUCCGCAAUGGGCGAAAGCCUGACGGAGCAACGCCGCGUGAGUGAUGAAGGUCUUCGGAUCGUAAAACUCUGUUAUUAGGGAAGAACAUAUGUGUAAGUAACUGUGCACAUCUUGACGGUACCUAAUCAGAAAGCAACGGCUAACUACGUG